UUGAAGAGUUUGAUCAUGGCUCAGAUUGAACGCUGGCGGCAGGCCUAACACAUGCAAGUCGAACGGUAACAGGAAGCAGCUUGCUGCUUCGCUGACGAGUGGCGGACGGGUGAGUAAUGUCUGGGAAACUGCCUGAUGGAGGGGGAUAACUACUGGAAACGGUGGCUAAUACCGCAUAACGUCGCAAGACCAAAGAGGGGGACCUUCGGGCCUCUUGCCAUCAGAUGUGCCCAGAUGGGAUUAGCUAGUUGGUGAGGUAACGGCUCACCAAGGCGACGAUCCCUAGCUGGUCUGAGAGGAUGACCAGCCACACUGGAACUGAGACACGGUCCAGACUCCUACGGGAGGCAGCAGUGGGGAAUAUUGCACAAUGGGCGCAAGCCUGAUGCAGCCAUGCCGCGUGUAUGAAGAAGGCCUUCGGGUUGUAAAGUACUUUCAGCGGGGAGGAAGGUGUUGUGGUUAAUAACCACAGCAAUUGACGUUACCCGCAGAAGAAGCACCGGCUAACUCCGUGCCAGCAGCCGCGGUAAUACGGAGGGUGCAAGCGUUAAUCGGAAUUACUGGGCGUAAAGCGCACGCAGGCGGUCUGUCAAGUCGGAUGUGAAAUCCCCGGGCUCAACCUGGGAACUGCAUUCGAAACUGGCAGGCUUGAGUCUUGUAGAGGGGGGUAGAAUUCCAGGUGUAGCGGUGAAAUGCGUAGAGAUCUGGAGGAAUACCGGUGGCGAAGGCGGCCCCCUGGACAAAGACUGACGCUCAGGUGCGAAAGCGUGGGGAGCAAACAGGAUUAGAUACCCUGGUAGUCCACGCCGUAAACGAUGUCUACUUGGAGGUUGUGCCCUUGAGGCGUGGCUUCCGGAGCUAACGCGUUAAGUAGACCGCCUGGGGAGUACGGCCGCAAGGUUAAAACUCAAAUGAAUUGACGGGGGCCCGCACAAGCGGUGGAGCAUGUGGUUUAAUUCGAUGCAACGCGAAGAACCUUACCUGGUCUUGACAUCCACAGAACUUUCCAGAGAUGGAUUGGUGCCUUCGGGAACUGUGAGACAGGUGCUGCAUGGCUGUCGUCAGCUCGUGUUGUGAAAUGUUGGGUUAAGUCCCGCAACGAGCGCAACCCUUAUCCUUUGUUGCCAGCGAUUAGGUCGGGAACUCAAAGGAGACUGCCAGUGAUAAACUGGAGGAAGGUGGGGAUGACGUCAAGUCAUCAUGGCCCUUACGACCAGGGCUACACACGUGCUACAAUGGCGCAUACAAAGAGAAGCGACCUCGCGAGAGCAAGCGGACCUCAUAAAGUGCGUCGUAGUCCGGAUUGGAGUCUGCAACUCGACUCCAUGAAGUCGGAAUCGCUAGUAAUCGUGGAUCAGAAUGCCACGGUGAAUACGUUCCCGGGCCUUGUACACACCGCCCGUCACACCAUGGGAGUGGGUUGCAAAAGAAGUAGGUAGCUUAACCUUCGGGAGGGCGCUUACCACUUUGUGAUUCAUGACUGGGGUGAAGUCGUAACAAGGUAACCGUAGGGGAACCUGCGGUUGGAUCACCUCCUU
This 1538-nucleotide ribosomal RNA is filed under the name Salmonella enterica. Its description in RNAcentral is "bacterial SSU rRNA". It matches the Rfam family "Bacterial small subunit ribosomal RNA". Lineage: Bacteria; Pseudomonadati; Pseudomonadota; Gammaproteobacteria; Enterobacterales; Enterobacteriaceae. The record is from RNAcentral.